RNAcentral lists this ribosomal RNA (496 nucleotides) under uncultured bacterium. RNAcentral's name for it is "partial 16S ribosomal RNA". It matches the Rfam family "Bacterial small subunit ribosomal RNA", at positions 29 to 507 of the family's 1533-position model. The record is from RNAcentral.
AUGCACGCUGGCGGCGUGCCUAAUCCCUGCAAGUCGCGCGAACAGACGAGGAGCUUGCUCCUCUGACGUUAGCGGCGGACGGGUGAGUAACACGUGGAUAACCUACCUAUAAGACUGGGAUAACUUCGGGAAACCGGAGCUAAUACCGGAUAAUAUAUUGAACCGCAUGGUUCAAUAGUGAAAGACGGUUUUGCUGUCACUUAUAGAUGGAUCCGCGCCGCAUUAGCUAGUUGGUAAGGUAACGGCUUACCAAGGCAACGAUGCGUAGCCGACCUGAGAGGGUGAUCGGCCACACUGGAACUGAGACACGGUCCAGACUCCUACGGGAGGCAGCAGUAGGGAAUCUUCCGCAAUGGGCGAAAGCCUGACGGAGCAACGCCGCGUGAGUGAUGAAGGUCUUCGGAUCGUAAAACUCUGUUAUUAGGGAAGAACAAAUGUGUAAGUAACUAUGCACGUCUUGACGGUACCUAAUCAGAAAGCCACGGCUAACUACGUG